AAGUCGUAACAAGGUUUCCGUAGGUGAACCUGCGGAAGGAUCAUUACCGAGUUCUCGGGCUUCGGCCCGAAUCUCCCACCCUUUGUGAACAUACCUCUGUUGCUUUGGCGGCUCUUGCCGCGUGGAGGCCCUCAAAAGCCCCCCGCGCUCGCUCGCAGACGAUCCAUCAACUCAGUCAGUAAACGUCGACGUCUGAAAAACAAGUUAAUAAACUAAAA
This 218-nucleotide unclassified non-coding RNA is filed under the name plant metagenome. RNAcentral describes it as "partial contains small subunit ribosomal RNA and internal transcribed spacer 1". The stretch from base 1 to 46 matches the Rfam family "Eukaryotic small subunit ribosomal RNA", at positions 1786 to 1831 of the family's 1831-position model. The record is from RNAcentral.